AUACGGAGGGGGCAAGCGUUGCUCGGAAUUACUGGGCGUAAAGCGCGCGUAGGCGGUCAGGCAAGUCAGAUGUGAAAGCCCUCGGCUCAACCGAGGAACUGCGUCUGAUACUGCUUGGCUUGAGUCCGGUAGGGGGUGGCGGAAUUCCCGGUGUAGCGGUGGAAUGCGUAGAUAUCGGGAGGAACACCGAUGGCGAAGGCGGCCACCUGGGCCGGUACUGACGCUGAGGCGCGAAAGCUAGGGGAGCAAACAGGAUUAGAUACCCUGGUAGUCCUAGCUGUAAACGAUGGGCACUUGAUGUCGGGGGUCUCUACCCCUCCGGCGUCGGAGCUAACGCGUUAAGUGCCCCGCCUGGGGAGUACGGUCGCAAGGCUGAA
This 377-nucleotide ribosomal RNA is filed under the name uncultured bacterium. RNAcentral's name for it is "bacterial SSU rRNA". It matches the Rfam family "Bacterial small subunit ribosomal RNA", at positions 523 to 898 of the family's 1533-position model. The record is from RNAcentral.